CUGAAAUUUGUUAGAAAGAGAUUUCACUGGGAAGUGGCCCAGUGCCAAAUUCAAACUUUAGCCACAAUCCAACAAUCGCAGUUGUAUAUUUACCAGUGGAAACUGAAAGAUUAUGAAGAUUAUGUGAAAAGCUUGUCAAUGCUGCAAAAGACAGUUUCACCUAAUUCUGAAUUAUGCCAUUCUCUGAUUUACAUUGCUCAGCACAUACAUUGUUUGGAAGAGAUUAAAUGUUUGUGUAGAAAUGGUUUUCAUGUAUAAACAUGAUAGACCUGAAAUGGUUAAUCUGGACAGAAAACAGAUGCCCUGUUGCUGUUGAUUUGAGAAAUGAACAGCAAAUGUUUUUUGAUGUUGUUGAUUCUCUUCCACAUGUUGCGUUGUCCAGAAAGAAUAACGAACAUUGGGAAGACAUUGGUUUAUUUGUAAAAAUGUGUAUUUUUUAUGUGAAUUGGGUGGAGACAGCAGAAGACAAUGUCGAAUACAAUCCAACACUGUCUGCAUACCGAAUGUGUUUGCACGGGCCUGCUGUUAAAGCUGUAUGCACAGUCUGUGUGAUUGAUGACACAGAGACCGGUCACUGCUUUCUCUCAGUGUAAGAAGCAGAGUCUCACCCAGCACUGAGAGAAGUCCCUAAGACACUCUGGGCUUUAUCUAAAUUUGAUGUUGGGCUGAUUAAAAAUUGUGAAUCAGUUCAAGUCACUCCAAAGUCUGAUUACAGACCCUGUAAACCUCAAUAUCCUCUAAAAAGAGAGGCUAUUGAAGGUAUAACACCAGUUUUUGAAUCAUUAAGAGCCGCUGGGGUAAUUGUGCACUGUGAAAAUUCUCCUGUGCAUACACCUAUUUUCCCUGUUAUAAAGAUUAAGAAACAUGCGAACAAGACACUGUAAAACUUAUAAAACAUUUGGCUACUGAGGGUUGCAAUGCAAGUUUGUCAAAACUGCAGUUUGUAAAAAGGGAGGUGAUAUUUUUAGGUCAUCUCAUCACUAAAAAUGGCAAAUUUAAUCUGAGAAACUAAAAGAGACAAUUCAAAAGAUUCUAAAGCUUAUUAUGAAAAAGCAACUAAUGUCAUUUUUGGGCAUGUGUUCGUUUUGUCGAAAGUUCAUUCCAAAUUAUGUUAAUGAAGAAUCGCCCCUGAGUGCUUUGGCAACCCCAUGACAAACUGACCUGGAUCCCAGAAGCAGAGAAAGCAUUUAAGAAUAUAUUACUGAUAAAAACAUCACUAACACUGGGGGACUCCCAGACCCAGAGAGAAAUUUUGUACAAACUGCUGAUGAGAGAAUGGGUUCAUGACUUCUGUUCUGUUAUAGGAUCAUGGGGGAGACCUGUGGCCUAUUUUUCGAGUAAGCUCGAUCCGGUAGCGGCAGGCAUGCCAAAAUGCCUGAGAGCUGUUGCAUCUGCAGAAAAAGCUAUUUUAUCUUAAAUGGAAAUUGUGGGGUACUCUGAUGUGACUUUGCUCGUGCCACGCACGGUCUCUGUGAUCCUGUUGGAACAGAAAACAUCCCAUUUGUCAACCGACAGAUGGCUCAGAUAUCUCAGCAGGUCAAGGACGCUCUGCCCAAGCCAGCGGAAGGAGUCUUGCAUGAUAUCAGGUCUUGCUAAUAACACACAGUGGUGAAAGUGGCAGAGAGAGCUACGUGGGUACAUGCAAGUCACUGCAGGAAGGUUCCAGUGCCACCAGAGGGCUACAGCUCAGUAAAGUGAUUGAUCAGCUGCCCCAUGCCAAGGGGGACGUCUGGCUGACUUAGGUGAACAAACAUACAGUGGUGUAUGGGAGCUGAACACGCAGCAACAUCACUGUGUGGGAGUGAUCUGGGGUCAGUUUGGGCCAACGGAUGACAGCGAGGGACUUAAGCUGUUAGAAAACCUACCAUCCGACCACUGCAG
This is a long non-coding RNA of Cyprinus carpio (common carp), 1881 nucleotides long. RefSeq lists it as uncharacterized. Lineage: Eukaryota; Metazoa; Chordata; Actinopteri; Cypriniformes; Cyprinidae. The transcript has 2 exons. The record is from RefSeq and is a predicted model, not a curated record.